Suricata suricatta (meerkat) is the source of this 801-nucleotide long non-coding RNA. RefSeq lists it as uncharacterized. The transcript is spliced from 3 exons. The record is from RefSeq and is a predicted model, not a curated record. NCBI's taxonomy places the organism in Eukaryota, Metazoa, Chordata, Mammalia, Carnivora, Herpestidae.
GGCCUGGUUUCCUGUUUGCGUCCGGGCCUCCAGCACCCGAGGCAGGUGCGCUGGCUCAGCCUCGCUUUGACCUCACAGAGCCCCUUGCGUGAGGCCAGCAGCUCCCGGCUUGGGGACAACAGCGGUCCCCGGUCUCCCGGCAGCCCUUGCGAGGGACACCGAGGCCAGUGCCCAAGCCUUCAGGCCCUGCUUCCUGCAUGUCUCCUGCUGGCGGCCAGACAGACCCUGGCUGGCAAGGCCGAGGAAGUCCCCGGGGCUCCAAAGCAUAAGUAGCUGCCUGAUGACCGUGACAUUCCCGGAGGAAGAGGCCUUGACUUGACCCAGGGGAGCUGAUGGAAUCGCCUCUGGCGUGGAGAACUCAAGGGAAAAAAACAACAGGCAGAGGACGGAGCAGUGGCACCAGGAACAUCGGGUGUCUGGGGCUGAUGUUCUGGAAGCCCGCUGUCAGUGAGGCACUCCCUGCGCCCACAGGUGGGGCCGCUCGCCACCCCGCCUUCCCUCACCCCCUUUGAGGGUCUGCUUCUGUGCCUUCUGGGCCUGGGCUCCUGCUGCGCUGGCCUGGCCUGCCCCUACCUGCUCUCUCUCCUCCUUCGGCACCUCCAGUGCACCUGCUGGGCCUGGUGGCACCAGGCAGACCUGGGGUUUGGAUGGGGUCAGCCUGGCCCCGGUGCCGCCUGGUUCACACAAUGUCAGAGACCCGGGGCCCGCACAGGCAUGGGGAGAACCACGCCGAGGGGGGGGGGCACCUGGGUGGCUCAGUCCGUUAAGCAGGCGACUCCUGAUUUCGGGUCAGGUCAUGAU